UACGGAGGGUGCGAGCGUUAAUCGGAAUUACUGGGCGUAAAGGGCACGCAGGCGGUUUGUUAAGUCAGAUGUGAAAUCCCCGAGCUUAACUUGGGAACGGCAUUUGAAACUGGCAGGCUGGAGUCUUGUAGAGGGGGGUAGAAUUCCAGGUGUAGCGGUGAAAUGCGUAGAGAUCUGGAGGAAUACCGGUGGCGAAGGCGGCCCCCUGGACAGAUACUGACACUCAGAUGCGAAAGCGUGGGGAGCAAACAGG
Molecule: ribosomal RNA, 253 nt
Filed under: uncultured bacterium
Lineage: Bacteria
Description: partial 16S ribosomal RNA
Rfam family: Bacterial small subunit ribosomal RNA
Source: RNAcentral